Molecule: ribosomal RNA, 484 nt
Filed under: uncultured bacterium
Lineage: Bacteria
Description: partial 16S ribosomal RNA
Rfam family: Bacterial small subunit ribosomal RNA
Source: RNAcentral
AUUGAACGCUGGCGGCAGGCCUAACACAUGCAAGUCGAGCGGAUGAAGGGAGCUUUCUCCUGGAUUCAGCGGCGGACGGGUGAGUAAUGCCUAGGAAUCUGCCUGGUAGUGGGGGAUAACGUCCGGAAACGGGCGCUAAUACCGCAUACGUCCUGAGGGAGAAAGUUGUGGAUCUUCGGACCUCACGCUAUCAUAUUAGCCUAGGUCGGAUUAGCUAGUUGGUUGGGUAAAGGCCUACCAAGGCGACGAUCCGUAACUGGUCUGAGAGGAUGAUCAGUCACACUGGAACUGAGACACGGUCAAGACUCCUACGGGAGGCAGCAGUGGGGAAUAUUGGACAAUGGGCGAAAGAAUGAUACAGAAAUGCCGCGUGUGUGAAGAAGGUAUUCGGAUUGUAAAGCACUUUAAGUUGGGAGGAAGGGCAGUAAGUUAAUACCUUGCUGUUUUGACGUUACCAACAGAAUAAGCACCGGCUAACUUCGUG